AGUGAACGCUGGCGGUAGGCCUAACACAUGCGAGUCGAACGGCAGCACAGUAAGAGCUUGCUCUUACGGGUGGCGAGUGGCGGACGGGUGAGGAAUACAUCGGAAUCUACUUUUUCGUGGGGGAUAACGUAGGGAAACUUACGCUAAUACCGCAUACGACCUACGGUUGAAAGCAGGGGAUCUUCGCACCUUGCGCGAUUGAAUGAGCCGAUGUCGGAUUAGCUAGUUGGCGGGGUAAAGGCCCACCAAGGCGACGAUCCGUAGCUGGUCUGAGAGGAUGAUAAGCCACACUGGAACUGAGACACGGUCCAGACUCCUACGGGAGGCAGCAGUGGGGAAUAUUGGACAAUGGGCGCAAGCCUGAUCCAGCCAUACCGCGUGGGUGAAGAAGGCCUUCGGGUUGUAAAGCCCUUUUGUUGGGAAAGAAAAGCAGCAGGUUAAUACCCAGCUGUUCUGACGGUACCCAAAGAAUAAGCACCGGCUAACUUCGUG
Molecule: ribosomal RNA, 492 nt
Filed under: uncultured bacterium
Lineage: Bacteria
Description: partial 16S ribosomal RNA
Rfam family: Bacterial small subunit ribosomal RNA
Source: RNAcentral